Molecule: non-coding RNA, 47 nt
Organism: Orchesella cincta
Lineage: Eukaryota; Metazoa; Arthropoda; Collembola; Entomobryomorpha; Orchesellidae
Source: Rfam
CCAACGGCCUUUUUAAAAGGCCACCAAUUUACAAAGAGCUCAAAUAU